Molecule: non-coding RNA, 46 nt
Organism: Trichobilharzia regenti
Lineage: Eukaryota; Metazoa; Platyhelminthes; Trematoda; Strigeidida; Schistosomatidae
Source: Rfam
GUACUGAUGAAGAGUCCUAAAGUAGGACGAAACAGCUGUCCAGUAU